AAAGAAUUAAGAAUUUGAGACAUACAUUAAUUAGUGAUUAAUUUCUAAAUACUUCCGAUCAAAGGAUCGUCACAGAGGACAGUGAUCAAUUCAUUUGAGAUCGAUGCACGGUUCACCUCUCUUGUGGGCAAAUGAGUUUCGGAUCUGUGGUGUAGAGACAGUGGGAUGAAGGUAAGGAUGGUUGUUAGAGAAUAAUUUACACUGAGCAUGACCAACAUGAGA
RNAcentral lists this long non-coding RNA (222 nucleotides) under Elaeis guineensis (African oil palm). Its description in RNAcentral is "long non-coding RNA (EGUI_LNC053837)". The record is from RNAcentral. Lineage: Eukaryota; Viridiplantae; Streptophyta; Magnoliopsida; Arecales; Arecaceae.